RNAcentral lists this transfer RNA (64 nucleotides) under Filhollianassa ceramica. RNAcentral describes it as "tRNA-Glu". The record is from RNAcentral. Lineage: Eukaryota; Metazoa; Arthropoda; Malacostraca; Decapoda; Callianassidae.
GUUCUUUUAGUGUAAACAACACACUACAUUUUCGUUGUAGAGAUGAAGACAUCUUCAAAGAAUA